Molecule: small nucleolar RNA, 155 nt
Organism: Chiloscyllium plagiosum (whitespotted bambooshark)
Lineage: Eukaryota; Metazoa; Chordata; Chondrichthyes; Orectolobiformes; Hemiscylliidae
Source: RefSeq, a predicted model, not a curated record
UUUGCACAUUCUUAAAACCCUGAGCUGAGGUCAGUUGCUGGCCAGUGAACUCUGGGUGUCGGAGAUGUGCUACACUAAGUUGGCAGGUAUUUCGCUAACACCACUAGAGUCUCUAACUUGAUGAGUGGGGUUUGAUAGUAGUUCCUGCUACAUAA